GUCCAACCUCCCCACAUCCCUCCAUGAUACCUCUCUAACAGUCUUCCGCCUCGCCAUCUCCAGCUCUGAUCCGUGGCCCUUCUCUUUCUAACCUCCUUUUCUUGCUUAAUAUUUCCCCAAAUACAAUAAGUUAGCUUGCUAGUUUUCUUGUCAUGGGUCACAACAGUCAUCACCAUCUUCUGAGCUUCAAUCUCCUGCACAACGGUAAGAAAGAAGUCUCUAUACGAGCAUCGACCGUCCCACCGAAAGGUUGUGUUGCAGUGAAGGUCGGCG
This 273-nucleotide unclassified non-coding RNA is filed under the name Hevea brasiliensis (rubber tree). Lineage: Eukaryota; Viridiplantae; Streptophyta; Magnoliopsida; Malpighiales; Euphorbiaceae. The record is from RNAcentral.